This 253-nucleotide ribosomal RNA is filed under the name uncultured bacterium. RNAcentral describes it as "partial 16S ribosomal RNA". It matches the Rfam family "Bacterial small subunit ribosomal RNA", at positions 524 to 776 of the family's 1533-position model. The record is from RNAcentral.
UACGUAGGGGGCAAGCGUUGUCCGGAUUUAUUGGGCGUAAAGAGCGUGUAGGCGGCCGUACAGGUCAGCUGUGAAAACUCGAGGCUCAACCUCGAGACGUCGGUUGAAACCGUACGGCUAGAGUCCGGAAGAGGAGAGUGGAAUUCCCGGUGUAGCGGUGAAAUGCGCAGAUAUCAGGAGGAACACCAGUGGCGAAGGCGGUUGCCUGGGGCUGUGCUGACGCUGAUGCGCGAAAGCGUGGGGAGCGAUCCGG